RNAcentral lists this unclassified non-coding RNA (179 nucleotides) under soil metagenome. RNAcentral describes it as "partial internal transcribed spacer 1". The record is from RNAcentral.
UCCGAGUUACAGCUCUCCAAACCCCUGUGAACAUACCUAAUCGUUGCUUCGGGGCAGGGAGUCCCCCGGGACGCCCUCCGGCCCCGCCCCCUACAGGGGCCGAUCAGGCGCCCGCCGGAGGAUACCCCAAACUCUUAUUUCUUUAAGUAGUCUUCUGAGUGGAACAAGCAAAUAAAUUA